This 461-nucleotide ribosomal RNA is filed under the name uncultured bacterium. Its description in RNAcentral is "partial 16S ribosomal RNA". It matches the Rfam family "Bacterial small subunit ribosomal RNA", at positions 46 to 523 of the family's 1533-position model. The record is from RNAcentral.
GCCUAACACAUGCAAGUCGAGCGGCAGCGAGAGUAGUAGCAAUACUACUUGUCGGCGAGCGGCGGACGGGUGAGGAACACGUAGGAACUUGCCCAAAAGAGGGGGAUAACCAAGGGAAACUUUGGCUAAUACCGCAUAAACUCGAGAGAGAAAAGGUGCCCGCAAGGGUGUCGCUUUUGGAGAGGCCUGCGUCCGAUUAGCUAGUUGGUGAGGUAAGGGCUCACCAAGGAGGCGAGCAGUAGCUGGUCUGAGAGGAUGGUCAGCCACACUGGGACUGGAACACGGCCCAGACUCCUACGGGAGGCAGCAGUGGGGAAUAUUGGACAAUGGGGGCAACCCUGAUCCAGCCAUGCCGCGUGAGUGAUGAAGGCCUUAGGGUUGUAAAGCUCUUUUACCCGGGACGAUAAUGACUGUACCGGGAGAAUAAGCCCCGGCUAACUUCGUGCCAGCCGCCGCCGUAA